Molecule: non-coding RNA, 164 nt
Organism: Caenorhabditis elegans
Lineage: Eukaryota; Metazoa; Nematoda; Chromadorea; Rhabditida; Rhabditidae
Source: Ensembl
UUAUAAUUUCAUAAACUUGAGCAUAAUUUCUUCGAAAUGAGUGAAAAGUAAGAUGAAGAGAGUGAGAAGCACAGAGAGAUGUGUUGUUAGAUAAUGUGUAUCUCUAAAUUGCGAGACACAAUGGUUCUUCGCUCUCUUCAUUUUCGUGAGAUGUAACCGAUCGG